This 706-nucleotide ribosomal RNA is filed under the name uncultured bacterium. RNAcentral's name for it is "bacterial SSU rRNA". It matches the Rfam family "Bacterial small subunit ribosomal RNA", at positions 8 to 722 of the family's 1533-position model. The record is from RNAcentral.
AGAGUUUGAUCAUGGCUCAGGAUGAACGCUGGCGGCGUGCCUAAUACAUGCAAGUCGAACGAGGUGCUUUUUGUAGUAAUACGAGAGGUAUCCUAGUGGCGAACGGGUGAGUAACGCGUUGGUGACCUGCCCCAAAGUGUGGGAUAACAGUCCGAAAGGAUUGCUAAUACCGCAUGUGGUCCCCGGGUUUAGAAACCGGUGACUAAAGCAGCAAUGCGCUUUGGGAGGGACCUGCGUCCCAUCAGCUAGUUGGUGAGGUAACGGCCCACCAAGGCUACGACGGGUAGGGGACCUGAGAGGGUGGCCCCCCACAAUGGAACUGAAACACGGUCCAUACACCUACGGGUGGCAGCAGUAGGGAAUAUUGCACAAUGGGCGAAAGCCUGAUGCAGCAACGCCGCGUGCGCGAUGAAGGUCUUCGGAUCGUAAAGCGCUUUUCUGCGAGAUGAGAAAGGACAGUAUCGUAGGAAUAAGUCUCGGCUAACUACGUGCCAGCAGCCGCGGUAACACGUAGGAGGCGAGCGUUAUCCGGAUUCACUGGGCGUAAAGCGCGUGCAGGCGGUUCGGUAAGUUGGGCGUGAAAUCUCCCGGCUCAACUGGGAGAGGUCGUCCAAGACUACCGAACUUGAGAGCGAUAGAGGAAAAUGGAAUUCCCGGUGUAGUGGUGAAAUGCGUAGAUAUCGGGAGGAACACCAGUGGCGAAAGC